Molecule: long non-coding RNA, 2584 nt
Organism: Trifolium pratense (red clover)
Lineage: Eukaryota; Viridiplantae; Streptophyta; Magnoliopsida; Fabales; Fabaceae
Exons: 6
Source: RefSeq, a predicted model, not a curated record
UUGUAAAAUGAAAUUAAUAAAUAAAAAUUGUGGUGGGUGGAUGUCGAACCCUGGUCCCUUGGUUCCUAAAUCAUCAUAUAAUAAAAAACACAUAAAAAAAAAUAAAUAAGCAGGGAAAAAUUUAUCACUAAUUUAUCACCACGAUCUUCAAUCCACUUCAAGGAAAAAUUGAAUUCAAACCCUAGAAAAAAAAAUCAAUGUUCUUCUAACUUCUUCAAACCAUUCCCAGCAAACAUUGAACUCAAACCCUAAGAUUCAAAAUCGAUCGUCUUGUGGCUUCAAACCCAAAGGAAUCUCGGUCCUCUGUAAUCAAACUCAGAGCAAACGGAACUCAAAGAGGUUGAUUCCCAGAUAAAUUGAAGUUAGAGCAAUCGGAACUCAGAUAAGUUGUUUCCCAGAUUAAUCGUUCAACUCGUCUUCUCCAAUCACACUCGGCAAUUCUAAUAUCCAAGAACCCAUAAACCACUUUGAACCCUAACCCAUAACCCAAAAAUCAUCUUCUCUCCAAGAACCUUAAUCCAAUAACCCACGAAUUUAACCGUCAAUAGUCGUACUCGUUCGCCGCCAUGCUUUCACAACUCAAACUGCCGUCAUUAAGGGGUCAUUGAGAAACUGUAAGCCACUAGACAACAUGACAUAUAUUGAUCCAACUGUGUAUGCGAGCUAUUACUGAGUAUGCAUAGCAGUGGAGUCACUCUCUGAUUCACUCAAACGGGUAUGUUAUUGACUGUGAAAUGUUUUGUUGAUAUAUUUAUUCCUUUUUUGCUGUCUCAAAUCAUGAGAGUUACAUGAGAGUUCAUAGUAGUCUAUGGUUUAUUUUCUAUUUAUCUGCAUAUAUGAUAUAUGAUAUGAUAUUAGUGAAUGCACAUUUUUUUUAUAAUCUGUUAGGAUUUGGCAUUUGAUCACUUUAACUAUUAUUAUAUUCAGUUUCAAUUUCUUACUUUUGGGUUUAAUUUGUUUACCUUAUUAUUAUUUUUAUAAAAAAAAUUUGUGUUACUGAUUUUUAAGGUUUGGGUCCAAAGGAAGAAGAACACAGUAGCUUUUUCCACAAAACCAAAGCAAGUUGCAGAGUCUAGUGGAUUUAAUAAUGUGGAAAGAUGUUUCAAGAUCAGCAUUUGUGUUUAGUAUUGGAACAUUCAUUAUAAUCUCAUUUUCUUAUGCAAGGGAUAUAUCAAUUUGAGGAUUUUGCAUUUCUGCACUGCUGGGAGAUAACAUCUACAACUACCUUGUUCAAAAAAACAUCUACAACUACAACUUUCGAGAGCUACUUGCCCAUCCUAUUGUGAGUAUCUGUUGAUUUUGUUGUUUGGAAUGCCUACUCUUUCAAGUUUCUCUACUCCACUCAUCUAUUUAGGUUACUAUAUACUUAUGUAGGUACUAGGUAUGAGUUGAAGUUAUUAAUCUAGCCUUAUUCUAGUUACACUGUACAUGUCCUAAAUUGAUUAAGUUAAUGCACUCCAUUCACCAUUUUAUCUAUGUCAUAAGUUUCUCAUUAAAUUUAUUUGUGUUGUUAUAAAUUUCAAGUGUUAGAUUUGGGCUUGUUUAUUGUAGAAUAAAAGUUCGAUACAUAUUUCCAUGUCCACUUUUAGUUGAUCCUUUCCUCUAAUCAGAAGAACGACCAAAUGUAUGCAGGGGUUUUAGAUAUCCCUUUGUACUUUGAGCCUUGUUUUAAUGUACUUCAGUGAUUCCAAUUUGUCUUAGAAAUGCUGAUUUCUCUUUUACUAUCCACAUGGUCUUUUACUUCAAGGUUAUUAUUAUAUUCGGAGAACUCUUUAGUCAAGUGUUUGUUUCAAGACAUUUGAAAGUCCUGUUAUGAUUAAGCCAUGCAUUCGAGGGUUGUAGAUUGAAAAUGGAAUAAAUCUCUAUUCAGCAACAAUUCUUAUAUGCCCAGUCUCUGUCGAAGGUGCUUCAUUUGAAUCAAUAAGUUAUAUAAAUGAUGCAGCACAAACCUUAAGGUAUCCAAGUGGAGUGUAGGUGAGAAUUAAUAUGAAUGUCAAAAUGGAAGAGCUCAACUACAGUUAAUUAAUUUUGUUAUAGGUUAGUUUGUGCGAGACCGCGACCGUCGUUGUUCCAUCUCGUCGAACCUCCAUCUCCAUCCUUAUCAAUUAAGGUCUUCCUGAGCUAUUUGCAUUAUGUGCUUUGUCACGCUUGGAAUUGGAGAGUGAUGCUUUCGUAGUGUUUUUCUGCUCUUUUGUUAUUAUAGGUUUCAGUUGCACUAUUAGACAUGAGUUAUUGGAUCAAUAUGUCAUGAGCACAAGAUAUUGACUAUAUUGAGUAUAUUUUUAAUUUUUCAGGGACUACAUGAAAACAUCAGAGGUGUUGGCUUGGUUUGGGAAAUGGUAGAGGAAUGCUUAGGUUAAUUUUAAUUUGGUUGCUUUGGUGUUCUGAACUCAUCAGCUAGUUGCAAGAAAUGGUCUGUUGGGAGGUUAUUAUUCACGUUGUAGUAAACCAAUUUUGUUGUCUUGUGCUGGUUGUUAUCUUAUUAAGGUUGAGAAUCAUAUAUAGGAAGGACCUUUGUAUUAGCAUAUUAGCAUAAUUGAGUUUGUUUUGAUGGUGAUAGUUAUGUACUCAGCUUGAAUAUUGU